CUACGGGAGGCAGCAGUGGGGAAUUUUGCGCAAUGGGCGAAAGCCUGACGCAGCGACGCCGCGUGGAGGAUGAAGGUUUUCGGAUUGUAAACUCCUUUUGUAGGGGAAGAUAAUGACGGUACCCUAUGAAUAAGCCACGGCUAACUCUGUGCCAGCAGCCGCGGUAAGACAGAGGUGGCAAGCGUUGUUCGGAAUUACUGGGCUUAAAGGGCGCGUAGGUGGUGGCAUAAGUCCGAGGUGGAAGACUAAGGCUUAACCUUAGAAUUGCCUUGGAAACUGUAUCACUUGAGUCAGCGAGGGGAUGGCGGAAUUCCAGGUGUAGCGGUGAAAUGCGUAGAUAUCUGGAGGAAGGCCGGUGGCGAAGGCGGCCAUCUGGCGCUGAACUGACACUGAGGCGCGAAAGCGUGGGGAGCAAACAGGAUUAGAUACCCCGGUAGU
This 438-nucleotide ribosomal RNA is filed under the name uncultured bacterium. RNAcentral's name for it is "bacterial SSU rRNA". It matches the Rfam family "Bacterial small subunit ribosomal RNA", at positions 339 to 794 of the family's 1533-position model. The record is from RNAcentral.